Non-coding RNA from Pelobates cultripes (western spadefoot toad), 465 nucleotides. The record is from the annotation of a GenBank genome assembly. Lineage: Eukaryota; Metazoa; Chordata; Amphibia; Anura; Pelobatidae.
CAAGGGAUAAUCUCUGUAUGCGCACAGGCAGACUCCAGGCACCAUUACCACUUCAAAUCACUUAAGUGGGCAAGAUGCUUGGAGUAACAAUUUCAAUAGUGUGCCAUCAAUGACUAUUGAAACGAAAUAAAAUAUCACCACAUUUAAAAAUCAAUUACUUUCCAGGACACCCAAAAUGCUUGGAUUCUAGUGGUGGUUGUUUUUUCGCAAACCAGUUGGUAGUGAAACAUGUUUUAUUGAAGCAGGCUCAUCUGGAAGCAUGUACAACAACAACCCCCAGUUGCAAAAUGUCAGUCAUGCAAAGUUUUAGGAUGGAUGAUAGUAAGCAUCAAAGCAAGAGCAGAAGGCUGCGCAGGUGCAAGUCAACCUAAUCUGCUUUAGGGUAUAGAAGAGUAAAGUAGAUAGGCCACCUAAGAAAGAAACGGUGGGGAGAGAAUAACACUGUCCUACAUAAAAAAAAAAAUU